GGGGGCCGAGGCGGGGAAACCGCGGGGGGGAGGAGACCCGAGGCGCAGCGAGUGGCGCCGGAGGGGAGGGGCUGGCGGCCUCCCGCUGCCCACCUGGGCUCGCGCCCCUCUGCGGCGCCCGCUCUUCAGCUGCCUGGGACCCAGAUUACCCGUGUUAGCUCCCACCCCCUCCAUUUCGAAACAGCCUCGCGCGGGGGGGUGGGGGGCCGUGUGUGUGCCAUUAUUGCUCCCUGAAAUUUGCAGACCCGAGAGGAAAGCGAUUCGCAGCGUCGCUCGUAUUUGAAUCGAAACCCAGAGCAAUUUGGGAAGAAACUCGGGGCACAUUUGCAAAAGGACAGCUAGCUUGAAAAGCCGAGGCCAGAGCAGGCUGCUCACCAAGGCCGCUCCGCGCCCACCCCACCCCUGCUCGCCGCCUCUCGUAAAUCACUAGGGGCACAGUCCUUGCAUUGGUGACUUUUGAACAAGCCCCUCCUCGGCAACCAAAGUUCGUUCCGAGUAUGAGGGGGGAAAGAGGGGUGGGGGAGGGACAUUUGGAACGCAGGAGAAAUGCAGUCCGAUCGGAAUCGCCAGACAAGCACCAAAAAGUAAGUUCUAGGAAAUGCAGCCCCAGGCUGUCCCGAAGCCGCCGCCGCCCGGGUACCUGUCGCUAGAAACGUUCGCGUUCCCGUCGCAGCAAUUAGACCAGGUGCAAACUAAACCUACUUGUCAGCAGCACAUUCCUUUGCGAGCCGGGAGAACUGAUAAAUAUCCGGAGGGCGAACGAAAAUAGGUUGUUAGCUCCCUUCUCUGUCGGCCGGUUCCGGAGGCAGAGCUUGAGCUCUUCCUGCCCCCUUGUGUUUGUCCGGUUUCAGAAGCGUGUGGAUUCCCCUUCUGCAAGGUCUCGCUGCGCCCACAUCUCGGAAGAAACGAAGAGGAAAACAGAAGAGCCCUCGCAGUUAAAACCCAGCCAUUUCCAGACCAACCUUUUCCUUGUACUUCUGAACAAAACAAUUUUGGUUUCCAAAUGGGACUUGUCGUGUGGACCUUGUUAUUUAUUUUUUAUGGCAGCAAUGGACUAAUUUUUGUGCAG
RNAcentral lists this long non-coding RNA (1069 nucleotides) under Canis lupus familiaris (dog). RNAcentral describes it as "lncRNA (ENSCAFG00000059133.1)". The record is from RNAcentral. Lineage: Eukaryota; Metazoa; Chordata; Mammalia; Carnivora; Canidae.